AAUAAUGAAAAUAAAGAGAAUGGGGCUAAGAGAUACUAGACUAAUGGAGUUUGAGCUUUUAAUUUUUUCGCGACUCCGAGGCUCUGCAAUCAUUUUAUUGCUAACCCGUUAAUUGGGAUCGAAAUGGAGCUCCAAUUGAAACUCCAAUUUCCGAGUUCACAUGUAAAAAUAAAAGAAAGAUAAGAAUUAAUAAUCGAUAAACAAAUUCGCACAUUGAGACACAACACAAAAAUGAGUAAACAAAUUAAUUAAUUAAUUAAUUAAAUUUUCAUGGUUAUGGUAUAUGGUCCAUUACUCUAAGUGUUGAUAAGUCUUUAUUUUUUUCCGUUAUUAUAGCAUCAUAAACACACACAUAUAUAUACAAUAUUUUUGCCUGUCCAUCCAUGAUUAGUAAAUGCCCUUAUUCCUAGGGUGAAAGAGAUGCACACUCACUAGAAAACAAGCACGUAAAGCAACAGUAAUAAAAUUUAAAGAGAAACUGUUAAGUGGGAGGAUUUAUUGUCUUGAACAUAUUGGCCAUUUUUAAUUAAAUAAGAAACUUUACUGCCAGGUAGUGUUCAAACAUGCGCAUCAUUCUCAAUAGCAUCUUUGGCCUAGAGGUAUGAGAAAAUAUACAUAUAUAUGGCAAACCAAAGAACAUAAAGUCAUACAGAAGGGCUCUAAAAAGAUAUUGCCAAACUAAAAACAUCUCUUCACGAUUUUAGCUCAGAAUUAUAACCUCGAGGUGUUAAUACAAGAAUUAAAUUUGAUAAUAACAUCAACACAAACUCACAACCGAAAUAAAUCACAUAAGAUCAAAUAUGGGCGGAGCAGGGGAAAAGGACUGAUUUUCACAUCUCCUUGACUUAAACAUAACACAACUAUAUUUUGAAAGAGAGUCAAAAUCAAGAUGAAAUUGUUCAAUUAACUCCAAUUCUUAAAAAUCGGACAGUGAUAUUAAUGGGAUGGCUAUAUACCCCAUAUUUUGACGAACUCGUAUCCUUGGAAGGGCCAAAUAUAUCCUAUGAUACUUUAUAAAUAAGUGCAAAUAAACUAUAUUCAUGGAUUUGAUUUGUGAACAAUGAUUUCAAACUUAGGCUCGAAAAUGAACUCCCUUAUUAACUCAAAAAUGAAUCCCCAUAUUAAUACACUUACAGAAUCAUAUGCACACAAAAUAAACCUUCAUAUCCAAAUCACGCUCAUCGACAAGAUUCCUGAAGGACCAAAAGUCACAACAACCAAGUGAUAUAAAUGAACGUAUAAACUCACAUAUUUAACACCAAAUAAUCUUCAGAUUCACCAACCAUAACUUCUAUUCGCAAGGCCAAUAUAGAAAUAACAACACAGCUCGGAAUCAAAAUAACUCUUAUAUUCGACAGAAUUAAAAAUAGAUGAAGAGUAAAGAAACAAAAACAAAAAUGAGAAAGUUAUGGGUCCACACAUUUUCUGGUGUAGCAAACUGGAACGUUGAUGUCCGGAUAAUUUUCGGCAACCCUAGCUCAACCGAGACACUGACUUUUACGUAAAAACUGAAAAGAAACCAACUGUUGCAAGACCCAAAUUUUGCUUGAAAUUUUCUAGUAUAAGCUACUCUCUCUUUCCCCUUUUUUUAGAUCUUGAACCCCCUUUUCUGAGGAUGAAGAACAUCCUAUUUAUAGGCGAAAUCUGGGCUUGAAAGUCCAGAUUUAAAGCCAAAGAUUGAAGGAUAGCGCAAGAACCGAGGUUGAAUUUGAAUUUCAAAUCCGAAUCUUGAACUUUUCAGAGUUGUGAAGAUGACUUUGAAAUGAUUUCUGGGUUUUUUCACCAAAAUGGUGCCUGAAUUUGCUGGCCAUGUCGAGUUCACAUGUUUGGGGGUCAAAAAAAGAGGAGAUUCUCGUGUGGUAAAGGUGGCAGUCGACUACCAGCUAUGGAGAUAGGUUUUUUCCGAUUUGGUGAUAAUGGAGGAGAGAGCACGGAGGAGAAAGGAGAGGUGGAUCAUUGUUUUUGUUGUUUUGGGAAAGGAGUGAUGGUGACCCGUCUAUGGCACAGGAAGGGGAGUAACAUGCGUGAUUUGAUUUAUUAGGAAAAGAAAAGUAUUGUUGUACUGAUUUUUGAUUGUCCAAUCUUAUGAUAGAACGAUUAAAAAUAGAUAAUAAUAAUCGUAAAGAAAAUAUUUAUAUACAUAUAUAGAGAGACUAGUGUGCCCGUGCCUAUUCUACGCACGGCCGAAGGAAUGUUUGAAGGUAAAACAGUUAUGUUUCAUAAUAUGUGGUUUACCAACUUGCAAAUAUAUUUAACAAGAAUGAAAAAGUGUAAUUAAGUAGUGCGAAAAUAGUAUAGUAUAAAUUAUAUUGAGGAUAUGUUAUAAAUAUUGAAAGAGAUAAUAUGAAAAUAAUGUGUUUGCA
RNAcentral lists this long non-coding RNA (2363 nucleotides) under Capsicum annuum. RNAcentral describes it as "long non-coding RNA (CANN_LNC020634)". The record is from RNAcentral. Lineage: Eukaryota; Viridiplantae; Streptophyta; Magnoliopsida; Solanales; Solanaceae.